ACACGCGGCGGUGGCGGCCGCGGCCGGUCUCGGGGCCGGCCGAGGAAAGUCCGGACUCCGCAGGGCGCAGUGGUGGGUAACGCCCACCGGGGGCAACCCCAGGGAAAGUGCCACAGAAAACAAACUGCCUAAGCGCGGCUUGCGCCGCGCCGGCGAGGGUGAAACGGCGGGGUAAGAGCCCACCGCGGGUGUGGCGACACACCCGGCACGGCAAACCCCACUGGGAGCAAGGCCAAAUAGGGAGGCAGGGGCGGCCCGCCCCGCGACGACCUCCGGGUAGGCCGCACGAGGGGGACGGCAACGUCCCUCCUAGAUGAAUGACCGCCGCCCCUUCGGGGGCAACAGAAUCCGGCUUACAAGCCGCGUGUGCAC
This 372-nucleotide RNase P RNA is filed under the name Planctomycetota bacterium. RNAcentral describes it as "Planctomycetes bacterium (anaerobic digester metagenome) RNase P RNA component class A". It matches the Rfam family "Bacterial RNase P class A". Rfam says of the family: Ribonuclease P (RNase P) is a ubiquitous endoribonuclease, found in archaea, bacteria and eukarya as well as chloroplasts and mitochondria. Its best characterised activity is the generation of mature 5'-ends of tRNAs by cleaving the 5'-leader elements of precursor-tRNAs. Lineage: Bacteria; Pseudomonadati; Planctomycetota. The record is from RNAcentral.